Tetranychus urticae (two-spotted spider mite) is the source of this 1607-nucleotide long non-coding RNA. RefSeq lists it as uncharacterized. The record is from RefSeq and is a predicted model, not a curated record. NCBI's taxonomy places the organism in Eukaryota, Metazoa, Arthropoda, Arachnida, Trombidiformes, Tetranychidae.
AUGUAAUGUGUUAGGUAAAAACAGUCAUCAGGCCUAAUAAGUAAACAAAUGAAUGGGAAACCUAUGAAGCUUGGUGGAAAAGCCGUUCAACAUUACAUUAACACUCAAUAUAUCAAAUCAAAUUAAUUGCUGACAGCUCACCCAAAUAACUACCAACACAUUACCCAUCUCAAUGGUUACACCAUGAAUAUCAUGUGCUUAUGACAAGAAAUAUAAAAAUCACAUUAACAAAACUCAGAGGGUUUCACCAGCGGACCGGAUAACCGUAUUUGCCUCCAUUAUGGAAACAUCCUUUUCAAGUGUAUCUUCAUCCACCAACCAACACCAUUACCACCGUUGCCUCCUCAUCACCCUCUCAAUAGACUGGCUCAAUUCAAUAAAGAAGAGGACUAAAUUGACUUUACACUGAUUUUGUAAAGAUGCUGCUGUAAACAUGGUAACAACAAGCCAGACUGAUUUAUCCAGAUAUCAGUGAUUCAGUCAUUGUCAACAUUUCGCCACACCAAUCAGCUUCUUCUCAAUGGAACAGAUGAUUCACACAAUUGAACUUAUCAAAUAAUAAGCAACUUAUUAAUCAAAAAAACUGUUCACAUACAGUUUCAACCAUUUACAAGUAACAAACCAACAAAUGGAUUCGCUGAUUCGCCUCAUUUUUAUCCUAAAUACAGUUUCCUCAUCUUUCAUCCUUCAUCUUUCAAUUUUACCAUUUACAAAUGGUUAUUACAAUCACUAAUCCCUCCAUUUUUGAUCCGAUUUACAAGUAAUUUAAUGCUAAUCAGAAAUGUUAUUUCGCCUUCCAUCAUUCAAUCCUUCAAUGUAUCUCCUGUCAAGAGAUGCUAAUUUGACCCUUGUCAUUGCUAAUAAUUAUCAUAACCCACUGCUUAAAACCUUUCCAAUGCUCAAACAAUUGUCACUCCUAGCAAUCAUAUCAGCCUAAUGCAUUGCCAUGGUUAAGCUCAUCUCUAUUAAUACAUGAAAUAGCAAAAACAAGCGUAAAAAACAAUUUCGCUUUAAGAUAUGAACACAAUUUUCCCAUCUCAAUGUAACUCAUGCAAAAUUGAUUAGACUAGGGCUUGUUGAAUGUACACAGAAAUUUUUCCUUUGUCAUCAAAUUGUUCGAGUUUUUUUUCCUCAUCAUCAUCUUUUAAUAUAUUUCAUCUUAUUUCAUCUUGAUUAAUUUCAAUAAGAUUACUUCCAAUUGUUCCUUUUUUCCCUCAUAUUGAAUAGUGUACCUAAAACAUGGAAGGAAACCUUUUAAUUUGAAAAAUAGAUUCUUUACUUGAAAUUAAACUUCAACAAUUGGACUCAGUCAGAAACAGUUUGUACUCUUUGAUUGUUUCACUUGAAGGUAAAGAAAGAUCCUCAGGCAAAAUCAGAUUAAAAUGACUGUUAGAAUUGAAAAUGUUUGAAUCACAAGGAAACAAGCUUGAAACAAUUUACUAACAAUACUUCUAACAAAUCUAAUCAAAAAUACUUUGAAAUGAAAAGAGUUCAAAAUGUUACGUUUUCCUGAUAAAUUACUAUUUCAUAUGAAAUUGCCUUUACAUGUAUUUCAAUCAUUUGUUUCAUUGAAAACAAUAAAUUGUAAACAUAUUUAUGUAAUUCAA